This 497-nucleotide ribosomal RNA is filed under the name uncultured bacterium. Its description in RNAcentral is "partial 16S ribosomal RNA". It matches the Rfam family "Bacterial small subunit ribosomal RNA", at positions 28 to 507 of the family's 1533-position model. The record is from RNAcentral.
GACGAACGCUGGCGGCGUGCCUAAUACAUGCAAGUUGAGCGCUGAAGGUUGGUACUUGUACCAACUGGAUGAGCAGCGAACGGGUGAGUAACGCGUGGGGAAUCUGCCUUUGAGCGGGGGACAACAUUUGGAAACGAAUGCUAAUACCGCAUAAAAACUUUAAACACAAGUUUUAAGUUUGAAAGAUGCAAUUGCAUCACUCAAAGAUGAUCCCGCGUUGUAUUAGCUAGUUGGUGAGGUAAAGGCUCACCAAGGCGAUGAUACAUAGCCGACCUGAGAGGGUGAUCGGCCACAUUGGGACUGAGACACGGCCCAAACUCCUACGGGAGGCAGCAGUAGGGAAUCUUCGGCAAGAGACGAAAGUCUGACCGAGCAACGCCGCGGGAGUGAAGAAGGGUUUCGGAUCGUAAAACUCGGUUGGUAGAGAAGAACGUUGGUGAGAGUGGAAAGCUCAUCAAGUGACGGUAACUACCCAGAAAGGGACGGCUAACUACGUG